UGCAGUCGAGCGGCAGCGACACAUUGACCUUCGGGGGAUUUGUUGGGCGGCGAGCGGCGGACGGGUGAGUAAUGCCUGGGAAAUUGCCCUGAUGUGGGGGAUAACCAUUGGAAACGAUGGCUAAUACCGCAUGAUAGCUUCGGCUCAAGGAGGGGGACCUUCGGGCCUCUCGCGUCAGGAUAUGCCCAGGUGGGAUUAGCUAGUUGGUGAGGUAAGGGCUCACCAAGGCGACGAUCCCUAGCUGGUCUGAGAGGAUGAUCAGCCACACUGGAACUGAGACACGGUCCAGACUCCUACGGGAGGCAGCAGUGGGGAAUAUUGCACAAUGGGCGCAAGCCUGAUGCAGCCAUGCCGCGUGUAUGAAGAAGGCCUUCGGGUUGUAAAGUACUUUCAGCAGUGAGGAAGGGGGUAUCGUUAAUAGCGGUAUCCUUUGACGUUAGCUGCAGAAGAAGCACCGGCUAACUCCGUGCCAGCAGCCGCGGUAAUACGGAGGGUGCGAGCGUUAAUCGGAAUUACUGGGCGUAAAGCGCAUGCAGGUGGUUUGUUAAGUCAGAUGUGAAAGCCCGGGGCUCAACCUCGGAAUUGCAUUUGAAACUGGCAGGCUAGAGUACUGUAGAGGGGGGUAGAAUUUCAGGUGUAGCGGUGAAAUGCGUAGAGAUCUGAAGGAAUACCGGUGGCGAAAGGCGGCCCCCUGGACAGAUACUGACACUCAGAUGCGAAAGCGUGGGGAGCAAACAGGAUUAGAUACCCUGGUAGUCCACGCCCGUAAACGAUGUCUACUUGGAGGUUGUGGCCUUGAGCCGUGCUUUCGGGAGCCUAACGCGUUAAGUAGACCGCCUGGGGGAGUACCGUCGCAGAUAAAACUCAAAG
RNAcentral lists this ribosomal RNA (870 nucleotides) under uncultured bacterium. RNAcentral's name for it is "bacterial SSU rRNA". It matches the Rfam family "Bacterial small subunit ribosomal RNA", at positions 56 to 906 of the family's 1533-position model. The record is from RNAcentral.